This 644-nucleotide ribosomal RNA is filed under the name uncultured Marmoricola sp. RNAcentral describes it as "bacterial SSU rRNA". It matches the Rfam family "Bacterial small subunit ribosomal RNA", at positions 232 to 886 of the family's 1533-position model. Lineage: Bacteria; Bacillati; Actinomycetota; Actinomycetes; Propionibacteriales; Nocardioidaceae. The record is from RNAcentral.
CGCGGCCUAUCAGCUUGUUGGUGGGGUGAUGGCCUACCAAGGCGACGACGGGUAGCCGGCCUGAGAGGGUGACCGGCCACACUGGGACUGAGACACGGCCCAGACUCCUACGGGAGGCAGCAGUGGGGAAUAUUGGACAAUGGGCGAAAGCCUGAUCCAGCAACGCCGCGUGAGGGAUGACGGCCUUCGGGUUGUAAACCUCUUUCAGUAGGGACGAAGCUAACGUGACGGUACCUACAGAAGAAGCACCGGCCAACUACGUGCCAGCAGCCGCGGUAAUACGUAGGGUGCGAGCGUUGUCCGGAAUUAUUGGGCGUAAAGGGCUCGUAGGCGGUUUGUCGCGUCAGGAGUGAAAACUCGGGGCUUAACUCCGAGCCUGCUUCCGAUACGGGCUGACUAGAGGUAUGCAGGGGAGAACGGAAUUCCUGGUGUAGCGGUGAAAUGCGCAGAUAUCAGGAGGAACACCGGUGGCGAAGGCGGUUCUCUGGGCAUUACCUGACGCUGAGGAGCGAAAGUGUGGGGAGCGAACAGGAUUAGAUACCCUGGUAGUCCACACCGUAAACGUUGGGCGCUAGGUGUGGGACUCAUUCCACGAGUUCCGUGCCGCAGCUAACGCAUUAAGCGCCCCGCCUGGGGAGUACGGA